CGACGCUGGCGGCGUGCCUAAUACAUGCAAGUCGAGCGGAGUUUUCAUCUGGAAGCCUUCGGGUGGAAGGGUGAAAACUUAGCGGCGGACGGGUGAGUAACACGUGGGCAACCUGCCCGUAAGACGGGGAUAACUAGCGGAAACGUUAGCUAAUACCGGAUAGUCCUCAUGGGCGCAUGCCUGAGAGGGGAAAGGCGGAGCAAUCUGCCGCUUACGGAUGGGCCUGCGGCGCAUUAGCUAGUUGGUGAGGUAACGGCUCACCAAGGCGACGAUGCGUAGCCGACCUGAGAGGGUGAUCGGCCACACUGGGACUGAGACACGGCCCAGACUCCUACGGGAGGCAGCAGUAGGGAAUCUUCGGCAAUGGACGAAAGUCUGACCGAGCAACGCCGCGUGAGUGAGGAAGGUCUUCGGAUCGUAAAGCUCUGUUGCCAGGGAAGAAGGGCGAGGAGAGUAACUGCUCUUCGCUUGACGGUACCUGAGAAGAAAGCCCCGGCUAACUACGUG
This 507-nucleotide ribosomal RNA is filed under the name uncultured Caryophanales bacterium. Its description in RNAcentral is "bacterial SSU rRNA". It matches the Rfam family "Bacterial small subunit ribosomal RNA", at positions 33 to 507 of the family's 1533-position model. Lineage: Bacteria; Bacillati; Bacillota; Bacilli; Caryophanales. The record is from RNAcentral.